This 293-nucleotide ribosomal RNA is filed under the name uncultured bacterium. RNAcentral's name for it is "partial 16S ribosomal RNA". It matches the Rfam family "Bacterial small subunit ribosomal RNA", at positions 505 to 796 of the family's 1533-position model. The record is from RNAcentral.
GUGCCAGCAGCCGCGGUAAUACGGAGGGGGCUAGCGUUGUUCGGAAUUACUGGGCGUAAAGGGCGCGUAGGCGGCGCGAUAAGUUGGGCGUGAAAGGCCCGGGCUCAACCCGGGGACUGCGCUUGAUACUGUCGCGCUGUGAGUCCGGGAGAGGAUGGCGGAAUUCCCAGUGUAGAGGUGAAAUUCGUAGAUAUUGGGAAGAACACCGGUGGCGAAGGCGGCCAUCUGGACCGGCACUGACGCUGAGGCGCGAAAGCGUGGGGAGCAAACAGGAUUAGAUACCCUGGUAGUCC